UGUGGAUAUAACUUAGUGGUAGAUCACUUGCCUAGCAUGUGGGAGGCUCUGGGUUUAAUCCCCAGAACCACAA
RNAcentral lists this transfer RNA (73 nucleotides) under Marmota monax (woodchuck). RNAcentral's name for it is "tRNA.Ala". Lineage: Eukaryota; Metazoa; Chordata; Mammalia; Rodentia; Sciuridae. The record is from RNAcentral.